GUGUCACCGGCCAGCUGCUAUGGUUGACAGUGCUGCGCUUGCAUCUCCGUGUCCCACAGCUGUCCACGGCUGGCCUGGCUUUCCCCUCUGAUCUAUCUGCUCAUAGCUCAGAGCCAGCCCGACUGAAGAACUGCCUGACCCAGCGCAGCACAGGGCGUGUGCGGUGGGACGGGAGCUCACUCCAUUACGAGCCGCGGGUGACAGAACGGAGCAGGAAUGUGAGCUGAGCGGUG
RNAcentral lists this long non-coding RNA (233 nucleotides) under Lonchura striata (white-rumped munia). RNAcentral describes it as "domestica (Bengalese finch) lncRNA (ENSLSDG00000007509.1)". Lineage: Eukaryota; Metazoa; Chordata; Aves; Passeriformes; Estrildidae. The record is from RNAcentral.